GCCAUCAGGUUAAGCUGGGGACUCUAAAGGAACUGCCUACGCAAGUAGUGAGGAAGGCGGGGAUGACGUCAAAUCAGCACGGCCCUUACGUCCAGGGCUACACACGUGCUACAAUGGCCGAUACAGAGGGCAGCUACCUGGUGACAGGAUGCAAAUCUCCAAAGUCGGUCUCAGUUCGGAUCGGAGUCUGCAACCCGACUCCGUGAAGUUGGAUUCGCUAGUAAUCGCGCAUCAGCCAUGGCGCGGUGAAUGCGUUCCCGGGCCUU
RNAcentral lists this ribosomal RNA (266 nucleotides) under uncultured Sphingobacteriales bacterium. RNAcentral describes it as "partial 16S ribosomal RNA". It matches the Rfam family "Bacterial small subunit ribosomal RNA", at positions 1117 to 1382 of the family's 1533-position model. Lineage: Bacteria; Pseudomonadati; Bacteroidota; Sphingobacteriia; Sphingobacteriales. The record is from RNAcentral.